This 304-nucleotide ribosomal RNA is filed under the name Bibersteinia trehalosi. Its description in RNAcentral is "bacterial SSU rRNA". It matches the Rfam family "Bacterial small subunit ribosomal RNA", at positions 98 to 405 of the family's 1533-position model. The record is from RNAcentral. Lineage: Bacteria; Pseudomonadati; Pseudomonadota; Gammaproteobacteria; Pasteurellales; Pasteurellaceae.
GCGGACGGGUGAGUAAUGCUUGGGAAUCUGGCUUAUGGAGGGGGAUAACUACUGGAAACGGUAGCUAAUACCGCGUAAUAUCGUAAGAUUAAAGGGUGGGACCUUCGGGCCACCUGCCAUAAGAUGAGCCCAAGUGGGAUUAGGUAGUUGGUGAGGUAAUGGCUCACCAAGCCGACGAUCUCUAGCUGGUCUGAGAGGAUGACCAGCCACACUGGAACUGAGACACGGUCCAGACUCCUACGGGAGGCAGCAGUGGGGAAUAUUGCACAAUGGGGGGAACCCUGAUGCAGCCAUGCCGCGUGAA